CGUAGGUGGCAAGCGUUGUCCGGAUUUAUUGGGUUUAAAGGGUGCGUAGGCGGUCCUAUAAGUCAGUGCUGAAAUAUCCCGGCUUAACCGGGAGGGUGGCAUUGAUACUGUUGGACUUGAGUAAAGUUGAGGUUGGCGGAAUUGACGGUGUAGCGGUGAAAUGCUUAGAUAUCGUCAAGAACACCUAUUGCGAAGGCAGCUAACUAAGCUUUAACUGACGCUGAGGCACGAAAGUGUGGGGAUCAAACAGGAUUAGAUACCCUGGUAGUCCACACUGUAAACGUUGAUUACUCGAUGUUGGCGAUACACAGUCAGCGUCUUAGCGCAAGCGAUAAGUAAUCCACCUGGGGAGUACGCCGGCAACGGUG
This 368-nucleotide ribosomal RNA is filed under the name uncultured organism. Its description in RNAcentral is "bacterial SSU rRNA". It matches the Rfam family "Bacterial small subunit ribosomal RNA", at positions 526 to 896 of the family's 1533-position model. The record is from RNAcentral.